UCUUCCCCACCGACCUUCUUUGCCACCUCGAUCAGCCGAUGUUUGACCAUCGUUCUUCGCUCCGAUGCCAUCAAUAGACUCACCAUCGAACGAUGAUCAAAACCCAACCACCCUCCUGUCGUGAAACGCUCUCAUCCGCCACGAAUCGACGUUAAAAGCACCGUGGAGAACCUCCCUCGUUGCCUCGAUUUUACGCCGAUCCCGGCCAAACCGUCGGCCGUAGUGUCUCACCACCCCCAGCAGCAUUGUGUUCCCUGACUUGUUUCGCUCAAAACCCAACCAGUGGGUGGCGUCGUCACUGCUGGUUCCGUCAAUCUCCGACGUGGUUGAACAGGUGCAAUCGGCCGCCGUUGCACGCUCCCUCACGUGCCGUCGGGUGCCCGUGGACCUUGUCUUGGCCUGGAGAAAUUUCCAGAGUCGGGCUGACCCGACCUGCCUGGUUCGGUCUAGUCACCGAGUCAACUCGGUCUGAGUCAACUCGUAUGAGUCAACCCGUUGACUUUGACCAAAAAGUCAGGAUCCCAUUUUAUGUUUUUCGACGUCUUGAAUCCGAAUCCGAAGUCUGUUUUGUCAAAUUCGCACCCGAUAAGCCGUUUUUCUUAAGUCAGUCCACAGUCACUUGAAAAUCGCUCUCGAUAAUAAGCCGAUAUUUGAGAUACCAUGCUAAGAAGUAAACAACAGAAGAUUGUAUUGCCAAAAGUUCAGCCAGCAAAGACGUCCCUGAACCAGCUGAGUUUGAAAAUUCCAUCAACGUUCCUAGGCAGACCUCCUACGCCAAACAUUCCAUUGCAUCCAUCACCAAAGUUUUUUUUUUUUAUUUCUUUUACGUAUAAGUUUUUUUUAGGGAUUAUUCAUAAUUUUGUAAGUUAUUGACGCAAAACUAGACAAUCCAACAAAACGUAAAUCAUAAUUGUAAUUUCUAUGCACUUGAUAUUGAUAGGCUAAGUGAAGGGAAAGCAAAGGGCGUCCAUAACAACUUGUAGAAGUUGAUACUGCGCAACAUGUGAUGGCUUUCGUUUUCAAA
Molecule: long non-coding RNA, 1024 nt
Organism: Hibiscus syriacus
Lineage: Eukaryota; Viridiplantae; Streptophyta; Magnoliopsida; Malvales; Malvaceae
Exons: 2
Source: RefSeq, a predicted model, not a curated record